UCCUGGAUAGCUCAGUUGAUGGAGCAUGAGACUCUUAAUCUCAGGGUUAUGGGUUUCAGCAAAAAUAUUCCUGCAUUGCAGGGG
This is a non-coding RNA of Podarcis lilfordi (Lilford's wall lizard), 84 nucleotides long. The record is from the annotation of a GenBank genome assembly. Lineage: Eukaryota; Metazoa; Chordata; Lepidosauria; Squamata; Lacertidae.